CCUGAAGGGACUCUGAAGGCACCGACUCGAGGCCAUGUGUCCCAACAAAAUGAAUACACAGGCAGCCGCCGAGUUACAACUAUCCAACUGAGGAACAAACAUCGAACUGGGUUGCUUUUCCAACAGAUCUCAGAACUUCCAAGGAUGCCUGCCGUAGAUGUGGGGAAAACGUCGGGAGGUAAUGCUUCUGGAACAUGGCCAUACAGCCUGGAAAACUCACAGCAACCCAAUGAUUCUGGCCAUGAAAGUCUUCAACAACACAUUAAACAUCGAACUGAGAAACAUACAUCCAAGGAAAGUCCGCCCCUCUCUUGGAGACAAAGACCACGUUCCUGAAGUGACUCUUAAGGAAUGGAAUAGAUGCCAUGUGUCCCAAUAUAAUCAAUACACAAGCAGUCCUCCAGUUACAAACAGACAAGGCUGAGGCAACAGGAAGUGAGAGAAAUAAGCCCUUCGGAAGGGAAAUUCACUCCGGGAAGAAAAAAUGUCUCCACUGAAGCUUUCUCACCAAUCCUUGUUUCCACAACAAGCCAAAUGUUUUAAAAUCCAAUUUUCACAGGGACAAAAAGUGAAGUGACAUCUUCCAAACAGUGGCACAGAGAGCAAAACAAAUUGGGAUGUUCCACAAGAAUGUUUACCCUUCCCUAGGCUGUCCAAAGCUAAAACAUAUAUACAAUGUGUCACGCACCACUAACAACAAAUAAUUCUGGGUUUUUUAAAAGUAAAAGUUUCCCUUGGGACCACGUUCAUGAGGGGGGCAACUCUGAAGGAGGGGUUUAUGCUUGGAAUAUGCAUUGCUCAUCCAUUUUAAUGAAAUUUUAACUGAGUUGUUUUAAUGAUUGUAACAUUUAAUUCUAUUUUAAUACUUACGUUUUGUAAGUUUUUCAAAAUAUGUAGUUUUUAAGGUUGUGAGCCGCUUUGGGGCUCAGUCCUGAGAGAAAAGCAGGAUAUCAGUAAAUAUCAUAUCGUCUUUAUCAUCCUUGUCCAACUCACAAUCUCACCAGGAUGGGUUUAUUCCAAGGAAUGCAGGGACCCUGCACCAUUCAGAACAAUUUUUCAGUCAUCACCACCGAAGUAUGUUUUACUACAUGAUGAAGGGUUUAUGGGCUCUGCUGUUUUGCAACUCAACCCUCUUUGCAACCUGGCACUUCUUUUCAAAAGUUUAAAAGAAAAUAUCCAAUUCUUCCAGUUGUAUCAACAAAUUGUAUUCAGGAUAAUCAGAAGGUGAUACUUCUCAUAUUUUAGGAAAGAUGCCAAACACUGUCUUCUAGGCUUGUGCAUUUUGGCAGGACCUUAAUCUGUUUCUGGUACUCCAAUUUGGAGGGGGUAGCCAUUUUUGCAUGCCUCCCAAAAAUGUCCAGCUGGACAAGAGUUUUCGUUCCAUAGCCAAAAAAUGUGGUUUGAUCCGGCCCAUUGGCAGUAAUGGGCGAGGGGGCUCCACAGGCUCCCCCCCCCCCCGUCAUUUUCAGGGCUAUUGAUGUGAAAAUGGCUACAUUUGGAGGACACAUCUACCACUUCCUUGUACAAUGCUUUUGACACGAAAUAAAUCUACCACUUCCUGCCCACCAAGUUUCAGAACGUUUGGGUCAUCUCAUAUUUAGGAUUUUUUUUCUUUCUAGAAAUACAGUGUUCCCUCACUACUUCGCGGUUUGCUUUUUGCGGAUUUGCUGUUUUGCGGUUUUUCAAUAAACUCUAAAAGACUGUUAUAAAUCAUAAGAAAUUACAAUGUACAGCCUAAGGAAGGGAGGAAGGAGAAAUUGAAGGGAGAGAAAAGGAGCCCAAGCAGCAAUGGGAGAAGAAGGAGGCGAUUUAUCAACACACGAUUGGUUGAUAAAGACUUAAAAUAGUGUAUAAGUACUAAAAUAAUGUAUAAAUAUUAAAAUAAAUAUAGUAUCCCUACUUCACGGAUUUUCACUUAUUGUGGGUGGUCCUGGAACGUAACCCCCGCGAUAAGCGAGGGAACACUGUAAUACCUCUUUAAAAAAAUCCCAAAAAGAUAUCCUACACUGUAACUUCUCCAGGAGCAACAGCAGGGCACCAUUUUUCCUGCCAAUGUCAAAAAUGCCCUUCCACAACAGCCUAAUGAUUAUAAUUUUUAUUAAUUGAAAUUAAGAAGACAGUGAGAUUGCAAAUGAUAGUUUUGGUCUAAGACAAGUAGAAUUUUACUUUUGUUUCUUGCUGGUACAAUCCUUUGGAAGAUUAUUAUAUUAACAACAAUACCCUUUUAUGUCCAGAAUCAGGGACGAUAGGUUCUGUUGGCUUGGCAAAGAUGCCACAGAAGACCAACGCUUUUGUUGUUAUUGUUAUUUUUGGUAGCCGGCAGCAGCCAGAUUAUUAUUUAUGACUUGAAAUUAAGAAUGCAGAGAGAUUGCAAAUGAUAGGUUUGGUCUAAGGCAUGUAGAACUUUGUCUUUAUUUCUUUGCUGGAACAAUCCUUUGGAAGAGUAUUAUAUUAACAAUAACCUUUUAUUAUAUGAUUAUAAUUACAGUAGAGUCUCACUUAUCCAAGCCUCGCUUAUCCAAGUUUCUGGAUUAUCCAAGCCAUUUUUAUAGUCAAUGUUUUCAAUAUAUCGUGAUAUUUUGGUGCUAAAUUCGUAAAUACAGUAAUUACAACAUAACAUUACUGCCCAUUGAACUGCUUUUUCUGUCAAAUUUGUUAUAAAACAUUAUGUUUUGGUGCUUAAUUUGUAAAAUCAUAACCUAAUUUGAUGUUUAAUAGGCUUUUCCUUGAUCCCUCCUUAUUAUCCAAGAUAUUCGCUUAUCCAAGCUUCUGCCGGCCCGUUUAGCUUGGAUAAGUGAGACUCUACUGUAAUUGAGAUUAGGAAGGCUGACAGUACAGAGAGAAAUAUAAACAGAAAUAACUUGUUUGCAAAGAAUAAAAAUGGUGGUAAGUUUAGGGAGUAGAAUGAGGCCUUGCUGGAAUUAUUAUUAUUAUCAAUAAUUAUCUUUUAAAAGUGAUUUAUGAAGGUGGGGAGGGAGGAGAAAGAAUAUAAGGAGAGGAGAGAAGGGAAGAAGCUAAAAGGCGACUCAAGGCUCAGAGCCACCCUAAAGAAAAGCACAUCCACUCACCCAAGAGAUGCUUUCUUUUUUCUCCCCAAAUGCACCCACCCACCCGCACUCUCCAACUCCGAGUCCCACUAAAUAUAAAUCAAGAAAAUGAAGGAAAAUAAAAAAGAUUCCAUUCUACAAGCCAAGCCAAACCAAAAACUAAAAUGUGUAUAUGAAAUGUAUUCUUGUGUUUCUGCAUCAUGUAUGGCUGAUAGUGUUGUAGUUCAGCCCAUAGUUGUGCCUGCUCCUAAUGUCUACGAGAAGCGGAUCAUGGGAUUUCUGGGCCUGCGAACCAGCAUGAGAUUUUAGGUCCUGAAACUGAGUAGUCUGUGUCUCUAGCAGCGAGUGAAGCCCACAUUCCAAAGAGGGGCCCAGAUGCUGCUGAGAAGUCUUUCUCUAGGGAAGCAAGGUCAGAGGCUGAAAUGAGUUCAGAGGAUGAAAUCCCAGGUGGAGAGGAUAAUGAGCUGAUAGGUGGAGAGGAUAAUGAACUGACUUCAUUUUCGUAAACUCCAGGCUGCUCAACAGACUUGGCAAAAGUCACAGUGCUUGUUUGAGGAAAAAGCCGUUAUCAGGGAAGACAGCAUGAUUUCAUGUCUGUAUUAGUGAGACCAGAGGGAUUUUCCAGCAAUCUGGUCAACGUUGGUUAUUGAGGCCACAUCUCUUGCCAUGUCCUGGUCAAGCCUGCUAAGGAAAUUUAGUUCCAUGUCUUUAUUUGUUCAUGUUUCAUGCUACCAAGUUUAAAGGACUGUUCCUGGAUUUUUGUAUGGGAUUUUAUGCUUACUUGUGUAUCCUGCUUCUUUUGUAUUUCUGUAUUGGAAGCCCUGUUGUUCUGGGUUUUUGAAACUAUUCUUGUACCAUUAAUCUUGUGGACUAUUUCAUACAUUUAGACUUUGACGUUUUUACUACUUUUGCUAAACUGUUUUUUAUAUAAUCUUCAGUAAACUGCUUUGCUGAUUUAACUGGGACUGGAGUGUGGUGGUAAAGUACAGAGGUGCUUCCUGUCCUGGAGUGCAACAAAUAGUUCAUAUUCUAAGGAGGACAGACUUAAUUCAUAUUUAGCACCCAUUUGAAAAAAUCAGAUCUUAUAGAUACUAUACAUCAGUGGUUCUCAACCUGGGGUCCCCAGAUGUUUUUGGCCUACAACUCCCAGAAAUCCCAGUCAAUUUACCAGCUGGGAGUUGAAGGCCAAAAACAUAUGGGGACCCCAGGUUGAGGACCACUACUAUACAUGGUCAUGUGAUCAUUUGAAAAGGAAAUACUUUCACACAGUCCGUUUAUAAGAUAUAACAUUGAUCUUCAGCUUUGUAGUUGAUUUUAUUAGAAGAAACACUUUUAUCCCUCCUGAGCAGCUUCUCAUUUUUUUUACCUUUCUGACAUAAAAAUGAAAUAGCUGUAAAAUCUAGACUGCUGACAAUGGUAUUUUACAGCCGCACAUUUAAACAUCCUGUUGUAAUAUGAGCAGAGUAAAGUUUUAGGCUUAUUUCUGGCAACAGCAAUUGCAAGUUAUCAACUGCUGAAUAUGUACAAGAUUUCCUCAGUAUCAGGACAUUUUAAUUUCACUCUGAUCAGUCUGCUUCGUGAAGAAAAUCAUAAGCCAUCCUUUCAGCAAGCUGUGGUUGGCAGCAGUUUACCAGGUUUUCUUAUGCUCAUUAUGAGAAUAUGUAGCUCAUAUGAAACACUAAAGAUUAAAUUCACACAUGCAAUUACAAUUAAAAUUGACUAUUGUUUGAGUCAUUUCACACAUGGCAAUUAGUGAUUACAUACUAAUAAAUUGUUGUUGUUGUUGUUGAUUACAUACAUGUGUUUUAUGUAUAUCCAUAUUGCUUGUAACAUAAGAUAUGUGGCAGUUCUGGGGUUGAUUUUCAAACUAUUUUUAAUAUGCCUUGUGUAUAUAAACUAUGUUGGUCGACGGCACAUAGUGAACACUGAGGUUAAAAACAAUAUGUAGAGCUCUCAGGUGACAUGAUGUAUGAGAUGGUUGUAUAUCUACUUAUAUAGUAUGUAAAAUGGCUCUUAAAAGUAUCAGGUUUUGCUUAAUACAAUUGUAGAACAACUCUACUAGCGGGAUACAAUAAACAGAGUGAUGGUCGGUGAGUAGGAAGUCUCAAUUCAUUUUGCAAAAUUGUGAGUGAAAAUGUGUGCUUGGAAUGCUUAAAACCAGGUGAACAUACUGUAGCAUGUUUGUAGGGCUAUUGUUGAUUCAUAGCAGAUUUCAAUCUUUGCACUUCUUUCCUCUCUACUGUAUUUGUAUAUAUUAUAUGUUGAUGUGGUUUGACUGUUGUAUCCCGCCUCAAGCUGUUAGGAGAGACAGUCAAGAAAUAUUUAUUGUUGUUGUUGUUAUUGUACUUGUACACACAUUGAAAAUUAUGUGAAGAUUAUAGCUUUAAUAAAUAAUGUCCUUCUGGGGAGAUAGGGCUGAAUAUAAAUAAAGUUGUAUUUAUUAUUA
Long non-coding RNA from Anolis carolinensis (green anole), 5493 nucleotides. RefSeq lists it as uncharacterized. The transcript has 2 exons. Lineage: Eukaryota; Metazoa; Chordata; Lepidosauria; Squamata; Anolidae. The record is from RefSeq and is a predicted model, not a curated record.